Molecule: transfer RNA, 76 nt
Filed under: Candidatus Uhrbacteria bacterium
Lineage: Bacteria; Candidatus Uhriibacteriota
Description: tRNA-Arg
Rfam family: tRNA
About the family: Transfer RNA (tRNA) molecules are approximately 80 nucleotides in length. Their secondary structure includes four short double-helical elements and three loops (D, anti-codon, and T loops). Further hydrogen bonds mediate the characteristic L-shaped molecular structure. tRNAs have two regions of fundamental functional importance: the anti-codon, which is responsible for specific mRNA codon recognition, and the 3' end, to which the tRNAs corresponding amino acid is attached (by aminoacyl-tRNA synthetases). tRNAs cope with the degeneracy of the genetic code in two manners: having more than one tRNA (with a specific anti-codon) for a particular amino acid; and 'wobble' base-pairing, i.e. permitting non-standard base-pairing at the 3rd anti-codon position.
Source: RNAcentral
GCCCCGGUAGCUCAAUGGAUAGAGCGUCGGUGUUCUAAACCGUAAGAUGCGGGUUCGACUCCUGCCCGGGGUACCA